This 461-nucleotide ribosomal RNA is filed under the name uncultured bacterium. Its description in RNAcentral is "bacterial SSU rRNA". It matches the Rfam family "Bacterial small subunit ribosomal RNA", at positions 66 to 553 of the family's 1533-position model. The record is from RNAcentral.
GAUUGAGGCUUCGGCCGAUUGAAGCAGAGGAAAGCGGCGAAAGGGAGAGUAACGCGUAGAUACGUACCCUCAGGAUCGGAAUAGCCGCGGGAAACUGCGGGUAAUGCCGAAUGAUGUCUCCGGACCAAAGAUCCGUCGCCUGAGGAGCGGUCUGCGUCCUAUUAGGUUGUUGGUGAGGUAAAGGCUCACCAAGCCGAAGAUGGGUAGCGGGUGUGAGAGCAUGGCCCGCCUCACUGGGACUGAGACACUGCCCAGACACCUACGGGUGGCUGCAGUCGAGAAUCUUCCGCAAUGGGCGCAAGCCUGACGGAGCGACGCCGCGUGCGGGAUGAAGGCCUUCGGGUUGUAAACCGCCGUCAGAGGGGAGCAAAGGCAACUUGAGCGAUCCUCAGAGGAAGGCCGGGCUAAGUUCGUGCCAGCAGCCGCGGUAACACGAACCGGCCGAACGUUAUUCGGAAUCA